RNAcentral lists this long non-coding RNA (1269 nucleotides) under Oncorhynchus kisutch (coho salmon). Its description in RNAcentral is "lncRNA (ENSOKIG00005034367.1)". Lineage: Eukaryota; Metazoa; Chordata; Actinopteri; Salmoniformes; Salmonidae. The record is from RNAcentral.
AUGUGGAGACUAUAUACAGGGGGUACUGGUACAGAGUCAAUGUGGAGACUAUAUACAGGGGGUACUGGUACAGAGUCAAUGUGGAGACUAUAUACAGGGAGUACUGGUACAAUGUGGAGACUAUAUACAGGGGGUACUGGUACAAUGUGGAGACUAUAUACAGGGGGUACUGGUACAAUGUGGAGACUAUAUACAGGGGGUACUGGUACAAUGUGGAGACUAUAUACAGGGGGUACUGGUACAAUGUGGAGACUAUAUACAGGGGGUACUGGUACAAUGUGGAGACUAUAUACAGGGGGUACUGGUACAAUGUGGAGACUAUAUACAGGGGGUCCUGGUACAAUGUGGAGACUCUAUACAGGGGGUACUGGUACAAUGUGGAGACUAUAUACAGGGGGUACUGGUACAAUGUGGAGACUAUAUACAGGGGGUACUGGUACAAUGUGGAGACUAUAUACAGGGAGUACUGGUACAAUGUGGAGACUAUAUACAGGGGGUACUGGUACAAUGUGGAGACUAUAUACAGGGGGUACUGGUACAAUGUGGAGACUAUAUACAGGGGGUACUGGUACAAUGUGGAGACUAUAUACAGGGGGUACCAGUACAGAGUCAAUGUGGAGGCUAUAUACAGGGGGUACCGGUACAAUGUGGAGACUAUAUACAGGAGGUACCGGUACAGAGUCAAUGUGGAGACUAUAUACAGGGGGUACUGGUACAAUGUGGAGACUAUAUACAGGGGGUACCGGUACAGAGUCAACGUGGAGGCUAUAUACAGGGGGUACCAGUACAGAGUUAAUGUGGAGACUAUAUACAGGAGGUACCGGUACAGAGUCCAUGUGGAGACUAUAUACAGGGGGUACCGGUACAGAGUCAAUGUGGAGGCUAUAUACAGGGGGUACUGGUACAGAGUCAAUGUGGAGGCUAUAUACAGGGGGUACCGGUACAGAGUCAAUGUGGAGGAUAUAUACAGGGGGUACCGGUACAGAGUCAACGUGGAGGCUAUAUACAGGGGGUACCAGUACAGAGUUAAUGUGGAGACUAUAUACAGGAGGUACCGGUACAGAGUCCAUGUGGAGACUAUAUACAGGGGGUACCGGUACAGAGUCAAUGUGGAGGCUAUAUACAGGAGGUACCGGUACAGAGUCAAUGUGGAGACUAUAUACAGGGGGUACUGGUACAGAGUCAAUGUGGAGGCUAUAUACAGGGGGUACCGGUACAGAGUCAAUGUGGAGGAUAUAUACAGGGGGUACCGGUACAGAGUCAAUGUAG